RNAcentral lists this ribosomal RNA (388 nucleotides) under uncultured bacterium. RNAcentral's name for it is "bacterial SSU rRNA". It matches the Rfam family "Bacterial small subunit ribosomal RNA", at positions 29 to 408 of the family's 1533-position model. The record is from RNAcentral.
AACGAACGCUGGCGGCGCGCCUAAUACAUGCAAGUCGAGCGAGAAGACGUAGCAAUACGUUUGUAAAGCGGCGAACGGGUGAGGAAUGCAUGGGUAACCUACCCUCGAGUGGGGAAUAACUAGCCGAAAGGUUAGCUAAUACCGCGUACGCUCCUUGGACUUCGGUUCAGGGAGGAAAGCGAUACCGUGGGUAUCGCGCUCUUGGAUGGGCUCAUGUCCUAUCAGCUUGUUGGGUAGGGAACGGCCUACCAAGGCUUUGACGGGUAGCUGGUCUGAGAGGACGAUCAGCCACACUGGCACUGCGACACGGGCAGACUCCUACGGGAGGCAGCAGUAAGGAAUAUUGCGCAAUGGGCGAAAGCCUGACGCAGCGACGCCGCGUGGGGGA